Molecule: long non-coding RNA, 246 nt
Filed under: Elaeis guineensis (African oil palm)
Lineage: Eukaryota; Viridiplantae; Streptophyta; Magnoliopsida; Arecales; Arecaceae
Description: long non-coding RNA (EGUI_LNC075915)
Source: RNAcentral
CCAAUCAUGCAACUUCCAUUUUAAGAGGCCAAUUAUGGUUUACCUAGAAAGAGGAGAAAUUAUACCCUACAUUGCUUGCACCAUGCCGUUGUGCACUAUGUCAAUCACCUUGCCUCUUAUCUAUAGACUCCAUUCAAGAUGCGCUAGUCAUGGUGAUUGGCCCAUAGAAAGGAGGCAUGCUCAAUGGUAGUGCAUGGUCAUAUUGGUGCAUGUAGUGUAAGAUAUAAUUUUUUGAGAAAGAGAGAG